GAUGAACGCUGGCGGCGUGCCUAAUACAUGCAAGUCGAGCGAACGGACGAGAAGCUUGCUUUUCUGAUGUUAGCGGCGGACGGGUGAGUAACACGUGGAUAACCUACCUAUAAGACUGGGAUAACUUCGGGAAACCGGAGCUAAUACCGGAUAAUAUUUUGAACCGCAUGGUUCAAAAGUGAAAGACGGUCUUGCUGUCACUUAUAGAUGGAUCCGCGCUGCAUUAGCUAGUUGGUAAGGUAACGGCUUACCAAGGCAACGAUGCAUAGCCGACCUGAGAGGGGGAUCGGCCACACUGGAACUGGGCCACGGUCCCGACCCCUACGGGGGGCAGCAGUAGGGACUCUUCCGCAAUGGGCGAAAGCCUGACGGGGCAACGCCGCGUGGGUGAUGAAGGUCUUCGGAUCGUAAAACUCUGUUAUUAGGGAAGAACAUAUGUGUAAGUAACUGUGCACAUUUUGACGGUACCAAAUCAGAAAGCCCCGGCUAACUCCGU
Molecule: ribosomal RNA, 496 nt
Filed under: uncultured bacterium
Lineage: Bacteria
Description: partial 16S ribosomal RNA
Rfam family: Bacterial small subunit ribosomal RNA
Source: RNAcentral